UACGGCUCCCCGGGAAGACGCCAGGGGUGGGGCUCUGUCACGCGCCUGGAGCCUCACGUUCGGCUAUCAGCUGCCAUAGGUCAGGUGGCACAAUGAACGUGCUGGAAUACGAGGAAAUUAACCCUACAAGUUAACCAGGCAGCUGCAUAUGUUGGCAUGAUUGAUGAGAUCUGCUACAGUCAAGCAAGCAGCCCUGGGUGACCAGUUUACCCUUCCCCGCUAGGGUUCCAGCUGCCAGUUGCCCCCAUUCUGUGACAGCUUCUCCUUCUUCUCACCUUGUCAUCGAGCCAAGAUUGUACACUGUAGGAGAACAGUGACCUAGACGACUAUGUUUGUUCACCUUUGCCUUCAUCUCUGACCUCAACUCAGGCCACAAGAGGAGAAGAAAUACAGGUUUGCAGCAUCUUGAGAAUGGUGUAGUGGAGAGAAAGUUGACUUUGAAUUUCAGAUAUUGUAUUUUUUACAAAUUGAAGCCUGUGAUAACUCUGCACUAAACAAGUCUAUGGGCACCAAUUUUCCAACAGGAUUUGCUCACUUCAUAUCUCUGUUACAUUUUAGUAAUUCUUCUAAUCUUUCUAACUUUUUCAUUAUUAUUAUGUUUCUUAUGGUGAUCUGUGAUCAGUGACCUUUGAAAUUACUGUUUUAAUUGUUUUGAGGCACCACAAACUGUACCAUGUAAGAUGGCAACUUAAUUGAUAAAUGUUGUGUGUCUACAGACUGUUCCACUGACUGGCCAUUCCCCAGUCUCUCCCCAUCUGCUUGGGUCUCAAUAUUCCCUGAGACAUGACAAUAUUGAAAUUAGACCAAUAACCCACAAAUGGCCUCUAAGUGUUUAAGUGAAAGGAAAAAUUACGUCUCUCACUUUAAAUCAAAAGCUAGAAAUAAUUAAGCUUAGUGAAGAAGGCAUGUCAAAGCUAAGAUAUGCAUGUCAAAAGCAAGGCCUCUUAUGCCAAACAGUCAAGAUAUGAAUGCAAAAGAAAAUUUCUUAAAGGAAAUUAAAAGUGUUACUUCAUUGAAUACAGGAAUGAUAAGGAAGUAAAACAGACUUACUGCUGAUAUGGAGAAAGUUUUAGGGGGCUGGAUAGAAGAUCGAAGCAGCCACAACAUUUCCUUAAGCCAAAGCCCAGUCAAGAGAAAGACUCUAACUCUCUUCAAUUCUAUGAAGGCAGAGAGGUGAGGAAGCAUAACAAAAGUGUGAAGCAAGCAGAGGUUGAUUCAUGAGGUUAUGGGAAAGAAGCCUUCUCCAUAACAUGAAAGUUCAAGAUGAAACAGCAAGUGCCACUAAAUUAUUAGUGGCUACAGCAAGUUAUCUAAAAGAUCCAGCUAAAAUCUUUAAUGAAAGUGACUAUACUAAACAGAAUUUCAAUGUAGAGAGAACACACUUCUAUUGGAAUAAGAUGCCAUCUGGGACUUUCAUAACUGGAGGAAAGAAGUCAAUGCUUGGCUUCAAAGCUUCAAAAGACAGGCUGACUCUCCCGUUAGGUGCUAAUAGAGAUAGUGACUUGAGGAUGAAAACAGUGCUCAUUUACUGUUCCCAAAUCCUAGGCUUUUAAGAAUUAUGUUAAAUCUACUCCAUCUGUUCUUCGUAAGUGGGACAAAAAAGCCUGGAUGAUAGCCUAUCUGAUUAAAACAUGAUCUACUGAAUAUUUUAAACCCAUUGUUGAUACCUGCUGUUCAAAAAAAAAAGUUUUCUUUUUCAAAAUAUUACUGCUCAUUGACAAUGUACCUGUCCCCCAGGAGCCCUGUUGGGGAUAUAUGACGACAUUCAUGUUUUCAUGGCUGCUAGCACAACAUCCAUUCUGCAGCCCAUAGAUCAAGAAGUAAUUUUGACUUUCAAGUCAUCUAAUUUAAAAAAUACAUUUUGUAUUAGCUGUCAUGGGUAGUUAUUUUCUGAUGGAUCUGGACAAAGUAAUUUGAGAUACUUCUGGAAAGGAUUCACCAUACUAGAUGCCAUUAAGAACAUUGGUGAUGUCACAGAAAGAGGUCAAAUAUUGACAUUAACAGGAGUUUGGAAGAAAUUGAUUCCAUGUCUUAUAGUUAGCUGACUUUGAGGGGUUCAGACUUCAGUGAAGGAGGUAAUUGAAGAUGUCAUGGAAAUAGUAAAAGAACUAGAAUUAGAAGUGGAGCCUGAAUUGUGACUGAAUUGCUGCAAUCUCAUGAUAAAACUUAAACACACAAGGAGCUGCUUCUUCAGGAGGAGCAGAGAAGGUGGUUCUUGAGAUGAAAUCUACUCCUGGUGAAGAUGCUGUGAUGCUUGUUGAAAUGACAGCAAAGGAUUUAGAAUAUUACACUUACUUAGUUGAUAAAGCAGCACCAAGGUUUGAGAGGAAUGACUCCCAAUUUUGAAAGAAGAUCUCCUGCGGGUAAAAUGCUGUCAAACAGCAUCGUAUGUUUGAAAUUGUUCAUGAAAAGGAGGGUCCAUCAAUGCAACAAACUUCAUUGCUGCAUUAAGAAAUUGCCACAGCCACCUCAACCUUCAGCAGCCAUCAACCCUGAUCAGUCAGAAGCCGUCAACAAUGUGGCUCCACCAGAGAAAAGAUAUGACUGGCUGAAAGCUCAGACGAUUGUUAGCCUUUUUUUAGCCACAAAAUUUUUUUUGAAUUAAGGUCUUUGCAUUGUUUUCUCAGACAUAAUGCCAUUGCACAUUUAAUAGACUAUAUAGCAUAGUGUAAACAUAACUUAUUUAUAUAACACUUACAUGGUGGAAGUAUAACUUUUAUUUGCCCUGGGAAACCAAAAAGUUCAUUUGACCUGCUUUAUUGCAUUAUUCACUUUACUGAGGUGGUCUUCAACCAAAUCUUUAAUAUCUCCGAUGCAUGUCUGUAUGUAUAACUAUUAUUUUAUGCUACCAAAUGUUUAGAGGUAGUGAAAGAAACUGUGGAAAAGUAGGACAGAAAUUUGCUUUAAAACAAGGGUCAUCACUGAGGAAACAUGUAUUUGACUUCACAUCUAAUUGGAAGGAAAAUCAAGAGAGAGAAAACACAGGGAAUAAAGGCUUAGGCUAAUGUGGGAUCUAGGUUAAGGGACAGAUUGAAGAGUAAAGAUGUCAAAGUGACUUACAGAUAUGCUGACAUAGGGUAAUAAUAUGUGUAUACUUAAGGUAGCAGUAAAAACUCUAUUUAAUAUGACCUACUGAUUGAAUGAGACCUGUUUGAAAUACAAGGAAAGUUUGGGACUGUCACUGGAGCUUUGUUUCACUUGCUUACAAAUCAUGAUAUAUGCAAAAAAAAAAAAAAUGAAAUGAGCAAGGAAACUCACAAUAAAGAGAAACAGUAAAUUAUAAUACCAUACUUGAAAUAUGGGCAUGUGGCUAAUUCUUAAAUGGAUUGUAAGGAAAAUUUCAAUAUAAGAAAUGAUAAGUUGGUAGCAUUUACAAGAUUCGGGGGGAAAAUAUUAUUCAAGACAAAAAAUUAUGUAACAACUUCUAUUAUAUCUCAAUAAGAGACAAAAAUAGUAUUUUCUAUUUCCAACAGCAACGUAAGUGGGUAUUUAAUUCGCUUAAUCAAAUUUUUCAUCUACAAACAUGAUUUUAUGGUAGGGAAUAUGGGUUCUUAAGGAUGCUUGCAAUAUUUCAU
This is a long non-coding RNA of Prionailurus viverrinus (fishing cat), 3575 nucleotides long. RefSeq lists it as uncharacterized. The transcript has 5 exons. The record is from RefSeq and is a predicted model, not a curated record. Lineage: Eukaryota; Metazoa; Chordata; Mammalia; Carnivora; Felidae.